AUACGGAGGGGGUUAGCGUUGUUCGGAAUUACUGGGCGUAAAGCGCACGUAGGCGGUUUGGAAAGUUGGGGGUGAAAUCCCAGGGCUCAACCCUGGAACUGCCUCCAAAACUAACAGUCUAGAGUUCGAGAGAGGUGAGUGGAAUUCCAAGUGUAGAGGUGAAAUUCGUAGAUAUUUGGAGGAACACCAGCGGCGAAGGCGGCUCACUGGCUCGAUACUGACGCUGAGGUGCGAAAGCGUGGGGAGCAAACAGGAUUAGAAACCCUAGUAGUCC
Molecule: ribosomal RNA, 274 nt
Filed under: uncultured bacterium
Lineage: Bacteria
Description: partial 16S ribosomal RNA
Rfam family: Bacterial small subunit ribosomal RNA
Source: RNAcentral